Tarenaya hassleriana is the source of this 780-nucleotide long non-coding RNA. RefSeq lists it as uncharacterized. The record is from RefSeq and is a predicted model, not a curated record. The transcript is spliced from 2 exons. Lineage: Eukaryota; Viridiplantae; Streptophyta; Magnoliopsida; Brassicales; Cleomaceae.
UUUAUUUUUAAUAAUAAUAAUAAUUAAAUGCAGUGAAAGUCACCUUUCCCUCCCACUUCCAUUUUCGACCCCUUUCGUCUUCCUGAUCACUCAGAGAAAAUAUGCCCAAGCAUGGCAACCCCAUGCUAUUUUCUCCCAUCUGCUCUGCCUGCUGGACGGCGACGGGAAUGGCAACUUCCCAACCCGCCUUCUGUCAGCCUCUGCCACCGCUUCUGCUUCUGCUUUUCCCAUUGCAUAACAUUUCGUUUUAGUAUAUAUUUUGAGGUCGGGCCUUGUCAUUUACCACACAAAACAUGAAGAAAAAUCUCGCUAACGUCGUGAAAAGAGGUUAUUCCUCGAGAGGAAAGAGCUCGCCGACGCCGCCCCUGAUCAAGAAACGGCCGGGUAAGGACAGCGAGGAGCAUAAGGUGAGUUUGACGUUCUGCACGACCAGCUCGCCAGAGACGCUGCGCCCACCCCAGAAGUCCUCGACCAGUGGUACGAGGACUUCGUAAGGGAUGUGGUGAUUCCGGGGGAGUCGUCCUACCAGGAGGACGACGGCGACGAAGAGGACGAGGACGACCGUAAACAGGGUUGAUCGACGGCUGAGCGGAAAAACCCACCACCACCUACCUAUCUUUAUAUUUUAGUUAUGUUUAAUUAUGAGUCCGACUUUUUUAAGUUUAAGUUUCUGUAGUUAUGAGAUCUAAUGAAUGAAAUUUGGAUGCUUUGUUAAAUAUGAAAGUGUUAUCAUUUUCCGCAUGUCGAAAACCAAGAGUAGUUAUGGAUUUUUUUUAUCAA